This 445-nucleotide ribosomal RNA is filed under the name uncultured bacterium. RNAcentral describes it as "bacterial SSU rRNA". It matches the Rfam family "Bacterial small subunit ribosomal RNA", at positions 91 to 518 of the family's 1533-position model. The record is from RNAcentral.
UAGAGCGGCGGACGGGUGAGUAACACGUGGACAAUCUGGCCCCCGGCCCGGGAUAGACCCAGGGAAACCUGGAUUAAUACCGGAUGAGACGGGACCCGCGAUGGCGGGAUCCGGGAAAGGCGCUGCGGCGCCGCCGGGGGAUGAGUCUGCGUCCCAUUAGCUAGACGGCGGGGUAACGGCCCACCGUGGCGACGAUGGGUAGCCGGCCUGAGAGGGUGGACGGCCACAUUGGAACUGAGACACGGUCCAGACUCCUACGGGAGGCAGCAGCUAAGAAUCUUCCGCAAUGGGCGAAAGCCUGACGGAGCCGACGCCGCGUGAACGAAGAAGGCCGUGAGGUUGUAAAGUUCUUUUCGGGAGGGGGUAACAACCGUGGCAGGGAAUGGCCGCGGGGAUGACGUGAAAUCCCGGAAUAAGCCCCGGCUAACUACGUGCCAGCAGCCGC